This 491-nucleotide ribosomal RNA is filed under the name uncultured bacterium. RNAcentral's name for it is "partial 16S ribosomal RNA". It matches the Rfam family "Bacterial small subunit ribosomal RNA", at positions 29 to 507 of the family's 1533-position model. The record is from RNAcentral.
GUGAACGCUGGCGGUAGGCCUAACACAUGCAAGUCGAACGGCAGCACAGUAAGAGCUUGCUCUUACGGGUGGCGAGUGGCGGACGGGUGAGGAAUACAUCGGAAUCUACUUUUUCGUGGGGGAUAACGUAGGGAAACUUACGCUAAUACCGCAUACGACCUACGGGUGAAAGCAGGGGAUCUUCGGACCUUGCGCGGUUGAAUGAGCCGAUGUCGGAUUAGCUAGUUGGCGGGGUAAAGGCCCACCAAGGCGACGAUCCGUAGCUGGUCUGAGAGGAUGAUCAGCCACACUGGAACUGAGACACGGUCCAGACUCCUACGGGAGGCAGCGGUGGGGAAUAUUGGACAAUGGGCGCAAGCCUGAUCCAGCCAUACCGCGUGGGUGAAGAAGGCCUUCGGGUUGUAAAGCCCUUUUGUUGGGAAAGAAAAGCAGCAGGUUAAUACCCCGCUGUUCUGACGGUACCCAAAGAAUAAGCACCGGCUAACUUCGUG